This 1417-nucleotide long non-coding RNA is filed under the name Macaca mulatta (Rhesus monkey). Its description in RNAcentral is "lncRNA (ENSMMUG00000058308.1)". The record is from RNAcentral. Lineage: Eukaryota; Metazoa; Chordata; Mammalia; Primates; Cercopithecidae.
UUGGUGCUUGACCCCGUCACCUAUGUGACAACUGAAGGACAGUCUUUGAUGGAGGGGACUGACCCUCCACAGAUUCCUUCCUUUGUACAGGAGGUAAAGGGCUCAGUUCCUACCAGGCCUGGCACACAGCUUGUCACAAGGCAAUCCUUGUGCUUGGACAGUUGUGGCCAUCUGGCCAUCCACUGAUAGGAUCUUGUUUGAUACAGGCAAAGGACAUAGUAGCCAAUGAGUUGAACCACGAGCCACCUGGAUGAUUCUUCUCCAUGAGCUGGACCUGAUAGUCCUGUGAACCGACGGCUGGGUGGUCUCUAAGGGACUCAUUGUGUGGCCACUGCAAUGGGAAGCGCAGGAACACCUCAGGUCCUUGCUGCAUGAUGCUGAACAGAUUACCUGGAGCAGAAGCCCAGCACUACAAUGACAGGCUCCAACUUCCAAGCAGCUACCGGAAUGAGCUUUUUAGGAUCAUGCUGCUCCUGGAUGAAUCCAUUCAGUGUCUUCUUCCUGACAGCUACAAAAGAGAAGAUGUCUAAUUUCAUGGUAUGUCACAUGAAAACCCCUCCUCCUUUACCAGGCUUAAUCCUUGUCCCAUCCUGUCCUGAAAAUUUCAUGGUCAGUGUGAGCAGGGUACAGUUCCCCAACAAGACAGGAUAGAUCUGUCAUAUUCACCAUGCUUACCUGGUAGGGAUGCUGUGGGCUCCAUACCUAUCAUGUGCCUGACUGUUCUGAAUCAUUGUCCAUGUCUACCACCUGGUUACCUUCCCAUGAACCCUCCAAAUCCUGGCCCUUAGGGACACUAUCUCCUUUGAGCCCUCAUUGGGCUGUAAAGUCCUCUCUCACUUAAUAAUCAUUUUUUAUUCCAUCUCUGCACACACAUAUGCCUUGCCAACUGCAUCUGGUGCUAGGUGUACAAUAAAAGCCAAAUUAGCAAAUAUAAUAAAACACAAAACUCAUGGUCUAACACCACAAAUUAAUGCUUCUGGUGCUCUCACAGUGAUGCUAACGAUAACAGAAUCUAAUAUGCUUUUAGGACUUCAAGUGUGCUGAUGGUUAAGUGAUUCAGACAAGACUGGGCAGUCAAAAUGGCAGAGUUGGGACCUAGGAUUCAAGAGUCUAUGCUUUGAGCUAUAUGAAGGCUGCAGAGUUUUUGGUCUUCACCAUCUGACCUUGAUUUUGGAGAAUUAGGAUGUGAUGAAGCCAAAAUCCACUGACUAGAGUGAAGGAAACCAUUUAUCUGAGAAUUUAGGCAUCUGGUAUAUCAGCGACAUUUUCAAGUCCUCGUCACUGUGAAGUACAAAGCAGUGAAAGUGCACUAAUCUUGGUGUUAUUAUAGAAUGCCUGACUUCAAAUUUACCCUUUUCUUCUAUCCAUGUGUUCGAUUUUGCACACAUUUUGUGUGUGUAUGUUUUAGCUUCUCUGG